RNAcentral lists this unclassified non-coding RNA (439 nucleotides) under uncultured Entoloma. Its description in RNAcentral is "sequence contains ITS2". The stretch from base 1 to 154 matches the Rfam family "5.8S ribosomal RNA". The record is from RNAcentral. Lineage: Eukaryota; Fungi; Basidiomycota; Agaricomycetes; Agaricales; Entolomataceae.
AACUUUCAACAAUGGAUCUCUUGGUUCUCGCAUCGAUGAGGAACGCAGCGAAAUGCGAUAAGUAAUGUGAAUUGCAGAAUUCAGUGAAUCAUCGAAUCUUUGAACGCACCUUGCGCUCCUUGGUAUUCCGAGGAGCAUGCCUGUUUGAGUGUCGUGAAAUUCUCAACCUUUCAAGUUUUUAAUAUUAAAAGCUAGUCAGGCUUGGAUUCCGGGAAUUGCUGGUUCUUCAAUGAAGUCAGCUCUCCUUAAAUGUAUUAGCAAGAUUAAUCGCUGGAUCACUUGUGAUAUGAUAAUUAUCUAUAUCAUCAAUGAAACGGUGUUUUCCUUCACGGGAAAGAUCUAGCUUCUAACCGUCUCUUUAGAGACAAUUCAUUGACUAUUUGACCUCAAAUCAGGUAGGACUACCCGCUGAACUUAAGCAUAUCAAUAAGCGGAGGCU